Ipomoea nil (Japanese morning glory) is the source of this 74-nucleotide transfer RNA. It matches the Rfam family "tRNA". From Rfam's summary of the family: Transfer RNA (tRNA) molecules are approximately 80 nucleotides in length. The record is from Rfam. Lineage: Eukaryota; Viridiplantae; Streptophyta; Magnoliopsida; Solanales; Convolvulaceae.
AGUUUUGCGGUGUAGUUGGUUAUCACAUUAGUCUAACACACUGAAUGUUCCCGGUUCAAGUCCGAGCGAAGCCA